CUUUCGUAAGGAAGAGUGUUGUUCACCUGCAAUGCCCACCAUGGCUUGGUCUCCACUUCUCCAACUUCUGGUCCUCACUUACUGUUCAGGUUCUCUUGGCCAGUAUGCGCUGACCCAACCACCAUCCAUCUCUGUGUCUCCAGGACAAACUGCAGAACUCACUUGCUCAGGGGACAAGUUUGAUAAGUACUAUGUCCAUUGGUACCAGCAGAGAGCUAACAAUGCUCCUCAGCUGGUUAUCUAUAAGGACUCAGCAAGACCUGAAGGGAUUUUGGACCGGUUUUCUGGAAUCAGCUCUGGAACAAGCACUGGUGGCCUGGCCACCUUAACCAUCACAAAUGUCCAACAAGAGGACGAGGCUGAUUAUUACUGCCAAGUCUGGGAUAAGGAUAGCAGCCAGCUAGCACCGUGGCACAAACACAAAGGGAGCAAAAAACCUCCUGCUCACAGAGAUCAUGUCCUCCCCUCUCAUUCUGAGCAGUCAUUUCAUUAG
Molecule: non-coding RNA, 493 nt
Organism: Sceloporus undulatus (fence lizard)
Lineage: Eukaryota; Metazoa; Chordata; Lepidosauria; Squamata; Phrynosomatidae
Source: the annotation of a RefSeq genome assembly